Molecule: long non-coding RNA, 856 nt
Filed under: Volvox carteri
Lineage: Eukaryota; Viridiplantae; Chlorophyta; Chlorophyceae; Chlamydomonadales; Volvocaceae
Description: long non-coding RNA (VCAR_LNC004361)
Source: RNAcentral
UUGAAAUCAAGCUACAACUCUAGGCAUGCCGGUGUGGUGCACUUAAUUAUAAACUAAUAGCUUUUACGUAGUACAAACUUACACUCACGGAGCUUCGCUCCUGUUUUGAUAAAUAGUAACAGAAUUUUUACAAAAAUUAACCGGUCGCUGGAUGCCGAAGGCAAAACUUCAUGAACGAGGGCCGAAGCCCAAUUUUAGUGACUACAAUGAAUAUAUGUGAAGGUUUUUUGGCCCCAACUUAUCUUGUAACGGUCGCUUGUGCUACAAACCCGUAGUCCUACUUUUUUACUCGAACUUCACAGUGUGAGCUCUGUAAGUUUUUUUAUAUAGUUUAACGAUAUUAAACUUUUUUAGAGCAACCUUGGCUUCACCUUCCUCACAACGCAUUCCCCGAAGAAGACGCGCUGUGUGGUACUUCGUUCCAAUAGUAUACCUACGUUGUUUUAAGGCUACAGCCUGUUAUCUAAUAAAAGCGUUUGAAAAACAAGGCUUGCUUUGUUUCCAACCUUAGCUAGGUAAUGCGACAACUUGACAUAACUAGGCGUAAAGCACUCAUAGAGCGUCUUAUGUAUCAAUUUCCAUAGGGCCUACACGUCCGUUUUAGAACUUGUGUUAAAGACCCUGAAGUAGUCGGAGGUUUACAAAUAGUCCCGGCCAUAAGAAGCCUAUGGCUUACUGCACAGCAAAUAAACCCCCCCAGGUCCUUUUGUUUGUGGAGAGGAGCGUGUUGUAGACCCAGCAUAAAAAGUUUCGGUACUUUUGUUUUUUAUGCUUCGUGUUAAUAAUCCAGAGUAAGACAAUUCAUUCGUUACUUAACCAGUAGUUGUUAACAACUAGCACUAAAGUAGCACGGUGC